This 28-nucleotide small RNA is filed under the name Bombyx mori (domestic silkworm). RNAcentral's name for it is "piRNA piR-bmo-1404537". The record is from RNAcentral. Lineage: Eukaryota; Metazoa; Arthropoda; Insecta; Lepidoptera; Bombycidae.
ACUGCGGUGUAGGUAAUGGUACUGCUGC